UCGGGUUAAGUCCCAUAACGAGCGCAACCCCUAUCAUUAGUUGCCAUCGGGUCAAGCUGGGGACUCUAAUGAAACUGCCUACGCAAGUAGUGAGGAAGGCGGGGAUGACGUCAAAUCAGCACGGCCCUUACGUCCAGGGCUACACACGUGCUACAAUGGCCGAUACAGAGGGCAGCUACCUGGUGACAGGAUGCAAAUCUCCAAAGUCGGUCUCAGUUCGGAUCGGAGUCUGCAACCCGACUCCGUGAAGUUGGAUUCGCUAGUAAUCGCGCAUCAGCCAUGGCGCGGUGAAUACGUUCCCGGGCCUU
This 308-nucleotide ribosomal RNA is filed under the name uncultured Sphingobacteriales bacterium. Its description in RNAcentral is "bacterial SSU rRNA". It matches the Rfam family "Bacterial small subunit ribosomal RNA", at positions 1075 to 1382 of the family's 1533-position model. Lineage: Bacteria; Pseudomonadati; Bacteroidota; Sphingobacteriia; Sphingobacteriales. The record is from RNAcentral.